GAACCCUCCAAGAAAUUUGUAAUAAGCAGAAAGCAAAAAUAAGGAGAAAACAAUCCCACCAACACCUCCAAUCAGCAAGGGUCUUCUUCCAAGAUCAUCAACUUUUAGAACAGCUAUCCAUGUCAUCAGCAACUUGAACAAACCAAUAAUGACAGAAACUCGAGUGGCAUCAGCAGCCGCAGAGAAUCCAGCACCCUGAAGAAUUGGGCCGGCAUAAUAUAGAACACUUGGUUGCCCAGUUAUCUGCUGGAAAAACACCAAACCUCCAGCAAUAAUGAAGGCUUUCAAACUUGGUCCUUGAAACACCUCUAAGAUACUGCCCUCAGAAUCCUCCUCUGAAUAGGCAGACUUCAGAGAGACAAGGGUAUCCUCUAUUUGCUUCUCAGACACUUUGUCACCCAGAAGCCGGCCUCUUAGCUUGCUCAAGGCAAAAAUGGCCUUCUCUUUG
Molecule: unclassified non-coding RNA, 448 nt
Filed under: Hevea brasiliensis (rubber tree)
Lineage: Eukaryota; Viridiplantae; Streptophyta; Magnoliopsida; Malpighiales; Euphorbiaceae
Source: RNAcentral